RNAcentral lists this ribosomal RNA (868 nucleotides) under Myrotheciomyces corymbiae. RNAcentral describes it as "eukaryotic LSU rRNA". It matches the Rfam family "Eukaryotic large subunit ribosomal RNA", at positions 38 to 938 of the family's 3401-position model. Lineage: Eukaryota; Fungi; Ascomycota; Sordariomycetes; Hypocreales. The record is from RNAcentral.
GCAUAUCAAUAAGCGGAGGAAAAGAAACCAACAGGGAUUGCCUCAGUAACGGCGAGUGAAGCGGCAACAGCUCAAAUUUGAAAGCUGGCUUUCGGGCCCGCAUUGUAAUUUGCAGAGGAUGCUUCUGGCGACGCGCCUUCCGAGUUCCCUGGAACGGGACGCCAAAGAGGGUGAGAGCCCCGUCCGGUCGUGCGCCUAGCCUCUGUGAAGCUCCUUCGACGAGUCGAGUAGUUUGGGAAUGCUGCUCAAAAUGGGAGGUAUACGUCUUCUAAAGCUAAAUACCGGCCAGAGACCGAUAGCGCACAAGUAGAGUGAUCGAAAGAUGAAAAGCACUUUGAAAAGAGAGUUAAAAAGUACGUGAAAUUGUUGAAAGGGAAGCGCUCAUGACCAGACUUGGGCUGGCCCGAUCAUCCGGCCUUCUGGCCGGUGCACUCGGGCCGCUCAGGCCAGCAUCAGCUUCCGCCGGGGGACAAAGGCGGUGGGAACGUGGCUCCUUCGGGAGUGUUAUAGCCCGCCGUGUAAUACCCUGGUGGGGGCUGAGGUUCGCGCGUAUGCACGGAUGCUGGCGUAAUGGUCAUCAGCGACCCGUCUUGAAACACGGACCAAGGAGUCGUCUUCGUAUGCGAGUGUUCGGGUGUCAAACCCCUACGCGGAAUGAAAGUGAACGCUGGUGAGAGCUUCGGCGCAUCACCGACCGAUCCUGAUGUUCUCGGAUGGAUUUGAGUAAGAGCAUACGGGGCCGGACCCGAAAGAAGGUGAACUAUGCCUGUAUAGGGUGAAGCCAGAGGAAACUCUGGUGGAGGCUCGCAGCGGUUCUGACGUGCAAAUCGAUCGUCAAAUAUGGGCAUGGGGGCGAAAGACUAAUCGA